GGGAGCCCGCGGCCUACUCGGGGCCCGGCCGGGCCCUGCCCGGGCACCGCGGGGCCGAGCGGGGCCGAACGGGGCCGGGCCGGGGCCGAACGGGGCCGGGCCGGGCCGAGCCCCUCGCCCCGGGGCUGUUUGCCCCUUGCAGUGCUCACCUGGGUGCCCGUGGGUGUGUCAGCGGGCACCGGGCGUUAACACACACGCCCCAGGCGGGCUGCCCCUCACACGGGAGCCUUGCCAGGCGGGCAGGGACGGGCAGAAGUGCCCCCAUGGCCAGCACGCGUCCGCAGCCCUCCAUAACCCAUCGCUGCCCUGCCCUGGAGAGGGCCGGGGUCUGGCCGUGCGGCCCCAGCAGCAAAGGCAGCCUCGAAAACACAUUUCCUUUGGUGUCACGCUACAGAACGCCGAAAGCUCUGUGUGCUGCUGCUUCUCCUGUGUGCUGCUGCUCCUCUGGCCAUCUCAGGCACCGAAUUACUACGGACCAGAACCUCGAGGUCACUCGCUGGGAAACU
Molecule: long non-coding RNA, 506 nt
Filed under: Anser cygnoides (Swan goose)
Lineage: Eukaryota; Metazoa; Chordata; Aves; Anseriformes; Anatidae
Description: lncRNA (ENSACDG00005018656.1)
Source: RNAcentral